AGAUUCCCCGAGUAGUGGCGAGCGAAAAGGGAUCAGCCCAGAACUACAAUCAAUAUAAAUUACAGUAGAAUGAUUUGGAAAAUUCAGCGAUACAAGGUGAUAGCCCAGUAUACGAAAUAAUUUUUAUUGUGAGUUCGAAAAGUAGAACGGGACACGAGAAAUCCUGUUUGAAUAUGGGGGGACCAUCCUCCAAGGCUAAAUACUCCUGACUGACCGAUAGUGAACUAGUACCGUAAGGGAAAGGCGAAAAGAACCCCGGCGAGGGGAGUGAAAUAGAACCUGAACCCGUGUACGUACAAGCAGUGGAAGCAUAUUUUAAAAAUAAAUUUGUGACUGCGUACCUUUUGUAUAAUGGGUCAGCGACUUGUACUCUGUAGCAAGGUUAACUGAAUAAGGGAGCCGAAGGGAAACCGAGUCCUAAAUAGGCGUUAAGUUUCAGGGUACAGACCCGAAACCCGGUGAUCUAGCCACGGGCAGGUUGAAGGUUAGGUAAAACUAACUGGAGGACCGAACCGACUGAUGUUGAAAAAUCAGCGGAUGACCUAUGGCUAGGGGUGAAAGGCCAAUCAAACCGGGAGAUAGCUGGUUCUCCCCGAAAGCUAUUUAGGUAGCGCCUCGUGAAUUCAUCUAUGGGGGUAGAGCACUGUUUCGGUUAGGGGGCCAUCCCGGCUUACCAAUCCGAUGCAAACUCCGAAUACCAUAGAAUGCUAUCACGGGAGACACACAGCGGGUGCUAACGUUCGUUGUGGAAAGGGAAACAACCCAGACCGCCAGCUAAGGUCCCAAAAUCAUAGUUAAGUGGGAAACGAUGUGGGAAGGCAUAAACAGCCAGGAUGUUGGCUUAGAAGCAGCCAUCAUUUAAAGAAAGCGUAAUAGCUCACUGGUCAAGUCGGCCUGCGCGGAAGAUGUAACGGGGCUCAAACUAUGUACCGAAGCUGCGGCAGCAUAAACAAAAUUUAUUGCUGGGUAGGGGAGCGUUCUGUAAGCCUGAGAAGAUAUAUUGUAAAAUAUGUUGGAGGUAUCAGAAGUGCGAAUGCUGACAUGAGUAACGAUAAAGCAGGUGAAAAACCUGCUCGCCGAAAAACUAAGGUUUCCUGUCCAACGUUAAUCGGGGCAGGGUGAGCCGACCCCUAAGGCGAGGCUGAAAAGCGUAGUCGAUGGAUAACAGGUUAAUAUUCCUGUGCUUAAUAUUACUGCGAAGUGGGGACGAAGAAGGUUAGAUUAUCCAGGCGACGGUUGUCCUGGUUUAAAUGUGUAGGUAUGAUAAUUAGGAAAAUCCGAUUAUCUUUAAUCUGAGGCAUGAUGACGAAUCACUAAGGUGAUGAAGUAAUUAAUACCACGCUUCCAAGAAAAGCCUCUAAGCAUCAAGUAAAAUUAAAUCGUACCAUAAACCGACACAGGUAGUUAAGUAGAGAAUACUAAGGCGCUUGAGAGAACCCAGGUGAAGGAACUAGGCAAAAUAGUGCCGUAACUUCGGGAGAAGGCACGCUAGUACUAAGCGAAAGGAUUUACUCCUCUAACUGAAACUAGUCGAAGAUAACAGCUGGCUGCAACUGUUUAUUAAAAACACAGCACUGUGCAAACACGAAAGUGGAAGUAUACGGUGUGACGCCUGCCCGGUGCCGGAAGGUUAAUCGAAAGAGUCAAAGGAAACUUAAAGCUCUAGACUGAAGCCCCGGUAAACGGCGGCCGUAACUAUAACGGUCCUAAGGUAGCGAAAUUCCUUGUCGGGUAAGUUCCGACCUGCACGAAUGGCGUAAUGAUGGCCAGGCUGUCUCCACCUGGGACUCAGUGAAAUUGAAUUUGCUGUGAAGAUGCAGUAUACCCGCGGCAAGACGGAAAGACCCCGUGAACCUUUACUAUAGCUUGACACUGAAUUCUAAAUUUUGAUGUGUAGGAUAGGUGGGAGGCAAUGAAAUUAAAACGCCAGUUUUAAUGGGGCCAAACUUGAAAUACCACCCUUUAAAAUUCGGUGUUCUAACCUAGUGCCGUAAUCCGGUACAGAGACAGUGUCUGGUGGGUAGUUUGACUGGGGCGGUCUCCUCCCAAAGAGUAACGGAGGAGCACGAAGAUUGGCUAAUCACGGUCGGAAAUCGUGAGUUUAGUGCAAAGGCAUAAGCCAGUUUAACUGUGAGCGUGAUAACGCGAGCAGAUGCGAAAGCAGGUCUUAGUGAUCCGGUGGUUCUGUAUGGAAGGGCCAUCGCUCAACGGAUAAAAGGUACUCCGGGGAUAACAGGCUGAUACCGCCCAAGAGUUCAUAUCGACGGCGGUGUUUGGCACCUCGAUGUCGGCUCAUCACAUCCUGGGGCUGAAGCAGGUCCCAAGGGUAUGGCUGUU
RNAcentral lists this ribosomal RNA (2337 nucleotides) under Buchnera aphidicola. Its description in RNAcentral is "bacterial LSU rRNA". It matches the Rfam family "Bacterial large subunit ribosomal RNA", at positions 232 to 2581 of the family's 2925-position model. The record is from RNAcentral. Lineage: Bacteria; Pseudomonadati; Pseudomonadota; Gammaproteobacteria; Enterobacterales; Erwiniaceae.